Molecule: long non-coding RNA, 2324 nt
Organism: Anas platyrhynchos (mallard)
Lineage: Eukaryota; Metazoa; Chordata; Aves; Anseriformes; Anatidae
Source: RefSeq, a predicted model, not a curated record
CCAGUUAUUAAUACCAUAUUUAGUGAAGAUGACCAGAAAGCUAGUGGAGGAAUACAGACUUCUUUGUUUGAAGAAAUAAACCUUAGGAAGAUGUAGUUCCAUGUAUCACAUGAAUAAACAAUUUGAAAAGUUAUUGAAGCAUCUGCAUUGGCCAUCACAUACUGGACAGCAACUUUUUAGAUCUGGACCACGCUGUUUUGUUGGUUUUGUGACCCUGAUCCCAUGGGCAUGAAGCAUUAAAGGAACUUCAGCGGAAAUUUAUGUCCAGUAUUGGAAAGUGCAUUCAAAAAUAAGACUCAAAGAGAGUUCAGAUGAGUGCUACAGGAAACACCUACAAAACAUGACCUGAAGGUACUGGAUAGAAUUCAGUGCAGUCACUUUGGAUCUCAGACAUGAAAGAUCCCUGGGAUUCACUGGCACAUGGAUGGAAAGCUAAUAGAAAUCUGUUAAUACAGUAACAGGAAAUGAGUGCCUAUUAAAAAAACUUGGUGACAUUGAAACCAAAAUGGUAAUGAAAUUACUAAAUUUGGUUCAGCCAUAGUUAUUGAGCUGUAUAUUGAAAAUAUAUAUAUACAUAUAAAAGUCUUGCUGUAAGUUGUUGUAUACAUUCUUAUAUCUUAUAUUAUGCAUGCCUGCAUGAAAGUAGUGAUACUUUUAAUUAAUUAAUUAAUCAAUUUUUAUUUAUAACUAAUUCCACUCUUUUGAUAGUUUCUGUCAAAUGCUAAUCUUCCUGGAAUAAUUAAGAAUUUUUCUUAUUGAAAUUAUUAGACAGACUCCCAUUUACUUUGACAGGUCUUCAAAGAAGGUUUGAGAAAAUUUAAAUUGAAAAUUAGGUAACCCAAUCUAUUCAUGCUCCUAGAGCAGAAACUGUGAAAGUCUACAAAAUAAUUUGCUAAAUACCAGAAAUACAGUGAAAAUUAGUUUUUUAAUGCUGUUUCAGUCUUUUGCUUUCAUUCUUAUCUAAAACCAAAACCUGAAUAUAUAUAUAUAUAUAUAUAUAUAUAUAUAUAUAUAUAAAGCCAACAAACAACCACCAAACAAAAAUAAUUAAAUCAACAAAAUAAAAAGACCAGCUUUCCUAAACUCAGACCGUUUUAUAAACAUCAUCCUUUGAGAAAACUAAUUUCUUAAUAUACCUCAAAUGUAUAUUUGGUACUUGUUCAUUACCUGAUGUACUACAAACUCAUAGAGUUGGAUUCAUGGAACUGGAAUAUUCCUACUCAUAGCUCUGACUAUGGUGCAAUCAUAUGCAAUUUCUGACUUAGACUCAGAUGUAUGUUCCAUGUAAGUAUCUUUUAAUAUUUAGCAGUACAGAAGUACAGGUUUAGUCUUACCAUAUAGUUGUUAGUGAAAGGUGAAAGUUAGGUAAAGAACCAUGUUCAAAUCAUAUUUAUGAUUAUUUACCUGAAAGAACUUGAGAAAGUAAAGUGCCUUUUUUUUUUUUUUUUUUAAUGUUCCUAAUGUUUCAACCCUUCAAUAAAUGUAUGUUUCCUUUGGGAAUUCAAAUUUCCUAGAGUGUUUUACCCAAGGACUUACACUACAGAAGAAGCUAGUCUGAGGACAAAAAAAGACUUGACCAGAGAUUUCUUCCCUCCAAAACAGUAUAGAGAACAAGAAUUAGAAUUAUAUGUCAGUCACUAGGAGGUUAUAAAAGCCUUUUCUGAGCAGUGAAAGCCUUGUUUCAUUUACCAUAGAGCUAGAAGUUUAAAGAAAAAGAUGGAUGGGAAUCAGAGUGAACUUUGGCUGAAGAUUUCUGGCAGUCAUGGAUAUUUCUUGGGGAGCUGGAUGUACUGCCUCUUCAGAAAUGGAAGAAGUGGGCACAUAAUUACAGCUUUUAGGGGUGACACUUGCUGUAUCCUACUAACACAAACACUUUCUGAUGACACACAUGUCCUAGUCUGUUUUUUCUGGAGAUCAAACACAAGCAAAGAUGGCAAAGUGGACAACCGCUCUCUCCUUCUCCAACAAUCUUCCACCUAGUGCAACUAGAAAUGGUCCUGUUGCUUCUUCUUUCUUUGGUCCUUACUCCCGUGAAAAAUCUUAAUGGAAACUGGACUGUGGAAAGCCCUUCUAAUAUACAGAAACAUGAUUUAGCAGAUUACCUUUUUCUUUUAUUGUUGCUCACUAUAGAUAGCUACAUCAUGUAGUAUUAUCAGUCAUAAUAUUGAUGUCUUUUUGCAGGCUUUGGUGAAAGAAUAGAAAAAACUGUAUACAGAUACUUUUUCUUCUGAGAAUUUAUUGUCAACAAAAAAAGUAAAAUAUAUUAUUUAUACUGAUAAAUAACAAAUAGAAGAAGGCUGAUAAUAAAUAAUAAUUAUUCUUCA